Molecule: ribosomal RNA, 1995 nt
Filed under: Spirogyra sp.
Lineage: Eukaryota; Viridiplantae; Streptophyta; Zygnematophyceae; Spirogyrales; Spirogyraceae
Description: LSU rRNA
Rfam family: Eukaryotic large subunit ribosomal RNA
Source: RNAcentral
UCUGGGAGUUUUGCUCCCCGAAUUGUAGUCUAAAGAAGCGAUCCCUGCAGCAGAUCGGGCCCAAGUUCCUUGGAACGGGACGUCUGAGAGGGUGAAAGCCCCGUCGACCCCGAAGCCUGCCGCACCACGGGGCGCUGUCGCAGAGUCGGGUUGUUUGAGAAUGCAGCCCAAAUUCGGUGGUAAAUUCCAUCGAAGGCUAAAUACCGGCGAGAGUCCAAUAGCAAAAAAGUACCGCGAGGGAAAGAUGAAAAGUACUCUGAAAAGAGAGUGAAAUAGCGCUUGAAAUCGAUGUGAGGGAACCGAACGAGCGGAUCGCUAGGUCGUCGGCGUCGUACCCGGAACGGUCGCCCGGUCCGGUGAGCGGCGCCCGGCGCAAAACAGCGUGCGCUCGUUGCGUCCAGCGGCUGCGUCUCAAGCGAGGCACUGCCGCGACGCGGCGAGCGAUUUGACGAGGCCCGCGCAAUAGCGGAUAUCCACUGCGGCCUCGCAGCGCUGUCGUGACCAACUCGUUCGACCCGUCUUGAAACACGGACCAAGGAGUCUAACACGCAUGCGAGUCCAAGGGCGGAAAACCCCGGGGCGCAAGGAAAUUGAGACGUGGGAUCCGAAGAGGUGCACCACGCGCCGACCCGGAGUUAAGACGAAGGGUUUGAGCGAGAGCAUGUAUGUUGGGACCCGAAAGAUGGUGAACUAUGCCUGAGCAGGGCGAAGCCAGAGGAAACUCUGGUGGAAGAUCGCAGCGAUACUGACGUGCAAAUCGUUCGUCGGACUUGGGUAUAGGGGCGAAAGACUAAUCGAACCAUCUAGUAGCUGGUUCCCUCCGAAGUUUCCCCCAGGAUAGCCGGAGCCCAAACAAGUUCUAGCAGGUAAAGCAAAUGAUCAGAGGUCUCGGGAGUGAAACACUCUCGACCUAUUCUCAACUUUAAAUGGUUAGGAUGCCGCCGUUGCCCAAGCGAACGGCGACGACAAAUUGGGGCUCCGAGUGGGCCAUUUUUGGUAAGCAGAACUGGCGAUGCGGGAUGAACCGAAAGUCGGGAUAAGGUGCCCAACUCCGCGCUAACCUAGACUACACAAAGGGUGUUGAUUGAUUAAGACAGCAGGACGGUGGUUCAUGGAAGUCGAAAUCCGCUAAGGAAUGUGUAACAACUCACCUGCCGAAUCAACUAGCCCCGAAAAUGGAUGGCGCUGAAGCGCGGGACCUAUACCCGGCCGAGGCGGCGUGCGAACGCCGGCUUGAGUAGGAGGGCGUGGGGGCGGCGUUGCACUCCGGCGAGUGAUCCCGGGAGAAGCCGCCUCCAGUGCAGAUCUUGGUGGCAGUAGCAAAUAUUCAAAUGAAACCUUUGAAGACUGAAGUGGAGAAGGGCUCCAUGUGAACAGCAUUUGGACAUGGGUUAGUCGAUUCUAAGGCACCACCCAAACGGGAAGCAAAGGCGCAACUCGCGCCGUGCGCCGAAAGAGAAGCGGGUUAAUAUUCUCGCACCGGGACGUGGCAGCUCCGCGGCAACGCAACGGAAUCCAGAGACGCAGGCCGGCGCUCCAGGAAGAGUUUUCUUUUCUUUUUAACAGUUGAAGCGCCCUGGAAUUGAUUCGCUCGGCGAGAGGGUGCUGAAAGCUGGCAGAGCGCCGCACUGGUUGCGGUGUCUGGUGCACCCCGGCUUGCCCUAGAAAAUCUGGAGGCUCGAAUUGUUGCUCACGCCCGAUCGUACCCAUAACCGCAUCAGGUCUCCAAGGUGAGAAGCCUCUAGUGAACGGAUGAAUGUAGGUAAGGGAAGUCGGCAAAAUGGAUCCGUAACUUCGGAACAAGGAUUGGCUCUGAGGACUGAGCACGGGAAUCUGGCUCACGAUGCGGCAAGCGGCCGACGGCCUGCCAAAGCUGUUUCUACGGCGAUGGCGGGUCUUGGCGGCGAACCGCGGAGAGGACCAGAGCGCUUCGGCGGUGUCUCGUGCGCUCGACAGUCGGCUCAGAAUCUGGAACGGACAAGGGGAAUCCGACUG